Molecule: ribosomal RNA, 497 nt
Filed under: uncultured bacterium
Lineage: Bacteria
Description: partial 16S ribosomal RNA
Rfam family: Bacterial small subunit ribosomal RNA
Source: RNAcentral
GAUGAACGCUGGCGGCGUGCCUAAUACAUGCAAGUCGAGCGAACGGACGAGAAGCUUGCUUCUCUGAUGUUAGCGGCGGACGGGUGAGUAACACGUGGAUCACCUCCCUAUAAGACUGGGAUAACUUCGGGAAACCAGAUCUAAUACCAGAUAAUAAUUUGAACCGCAUGAUUCAAAAGUGAAAUGCGGUCUUGCUGUUACUAAUUGGUGGUGCGUCGCUGCAUUAACUAGUUGGUAAGGUAACGGCUUACCAAGGCAACGAUGCAUAGCCGACCUGAGAGGGUGAUCGCCCACACUGGAACGGAGAAACGGUCAAGACUCCUACGGGAGGAGGCAGUAGGGAAUUUUCGGCAAUGGGGGAAGGCCUGACGGAGAAACGCGGCGUGAGUGAGGAAGGUUUCCGGAUCUUAAACUUCUGUUAUUAGGGAAGACCAUAUGUGUAAGUAACUGUGCACACCUUGACGGUACCUAACCAGAAAGCGACGGCUAACUACGUG